RNAcentral lists this long non-coding RNA (213 nucleotides) under Homo sapiens (human). RNAcentral describes it as "LHRI_LNC1695.1". The record is from RNAcentral. Lineage: Eukaryota; Metazoa; Chordata; Mammalia; Primates; Hominidae.
AUGUCUUCUAUUCCUUACUUUUGUUGGUGGUGGUUAUAGUAAGUGUCCAAUUGCUGUGAUUAGAUCUUCCAGUAAGGUGUUCAACACAGUACCACCACUUCUAUUCAAUACAUUAGAAUACAAGUGAUGAGAGUGGGUAUCUUUGUUUUGUUGUUGAUCUUCCAGAAAAAAAACCUUGUUUCACUGUUGAGUAUUAUGAUGAGUAAGCUGUGG